Long non-coding RNA from Dermacentor silvarum, 962 nucleotides. RefSeq lists it as uncharacterized. Lineage: Eukaryota; Metazoa; Arthropoda; Arachnida; Ixodida; Ixodidae. The record is from RefSeq and is a predicted model, not a curated record. The transcript has 3 exons.
AUGAAACUGAGAUUGCUUGUUCGCCGUCAUCUGAGCCAAAGGAAUCGAUGGCUGCACCCACAAGUCUGCACAAUUCCACAUCGCAGUCAGAUGAGGAUGCACAAACCAUUGUCAGCUGUGGGGUGCAAUGCUGCCCACUGAGAACAGAGGGUGCGGUGCAGACAGGCCCGGUGGUGCUAUCCAAGCUUGAGGUCUGCCAGCUCCUCACCCCCGAUUUCUUUGCAUCUCUCGAGCGAGCCGAGCUGGGCCGAAUCCUCAGCACUAUCGCCACGGUUGUCGCCCAGAACCCUCUACCGCAAGAGUGAGAGAGCACCUUGGCUGUGGUUCAUCCAUCAAAUACUCACAAUACACACAGUCAACAAUGCUGGCAUGAGCAAUUCAGUGGCAAGUUCUUUUUUUCAUUUCCACUGCCGACUGUACUGCUCCAAGACACUGGACUCUGAUGAUUAGUGGGUGCAACAUUCACUGCCUCGUUACUUGUCACCUGCCAUCCAUUUUAAUUUUAGUAUCAUUACCUGUUAUUGACAUUUGUAAGCUGAGCUCUUUUUUUUUUUUUCUCUCGCAUUAAUUUUUAUUUUCUAUGAGCAUUGGCUGCCAAUGUAAGAUCAACAUCUUUUACAAUUUCAGCUAAAUAGAAGAGCUCAUUACUUCAUGCAAAGCAGCUCUACAGCUCGCUGCUUGUUUUAUGUGCACCAUAUGCUUCCACAUAUAGAUCAGGAUCCUUCUUGUAGCUGUUCUUUUACAGUUGCCCUUACAUCAUUCAUCAAAUACCAAGGCAGCCAGCUUGCUUCUCAAUGCUUUUAAUUGUGCUGCAAGUUGAAUUUAUUAUUAAAUCAGCUGUAGUUCGACGCGAUUAAGCAGUGUGGAUCUGCUUGAUGUAAUGGGAAGUGUUAUCAUAUAGAUGGAGUGGGCACCUGUUUAUUUCCACUCUUGAACAUUUUAGCUGUUUCUAUGAAUGUGAG